RNAcentral lists this ribosomal RNA (497 nucleotides) under uncultured bacterium. Its description in RNAcentral is "partial 16S ribosomal RNA". It matches the Rfam family "Bacterial small subunit ribosomal RNA", at positions 38 to 507 of the family's 1533-position model. The record is from RNAcentral.
GGGGGGGGGGGGGGGCGGGCCUAGGACAGGCAAGUCGAGCGAGCAGAUGAGGAGCUUGCUCCUGUGACGUUAGCGGCGGACGGGUGAGUAACACGUGGGUAACCUAUCUAUAAGACUGGCAUAACUCCGGGAAACCGGGGCUAAUGCCGGAUAACAUGUUGAACCGCAUGGUUCUACAGUGAAAGGCGGCUUUGCUGUCACUUAUAGAUGGACCCGCGCCGUAUUAGCUAGUUGGUGAGGUAACGGCUCACCAAGGCAACGAUACGUAGCCGACCUGAGAGGGUGAUCGGCCACACUGGAACUGAGACACGGUCCAGACUCCUACGGGAGGCAGCAGUAGGGAAUCUUCCGCAAUGGGCGAAAGCCUGACGGAGCAACGCCGCGUGAGUGAUGAAGGUCUUCGGAUCGUAAAACUCUGUUAUUAGGGAAGAACAAAUGCGUAAGUAACUGUGCGCGUCUUGACGGUACCUAAUCAGAAAGCCACGGCUAACUACGUG